CCAUUUAGUUUGGGCAGAGAUAGCUCAUAACACCGUUCACUAUUCUUUGAUUAACAUGUCUCCUUUUGAAUGUCAAUUUGAGUUUAAGUCUCCUCUCUUUCCCAAACAGGAAGUGAGAAUUCUGUUCCAUCUGCUAAACAGUUCGUUGAGCGCUGUUGACAGACACAACAGGCGUGUUCCCACACAGGUCCGACAAAGAGCUUGAAAAAGCAGCAAGUUUUUCGAUGGGAGCAGUUGAUUGGAGUACUGCGCAGACACAGCAGGAGUGUUACCGCGCAGGUCCGACAAACAUUUUCGGUGGGAGAUCCAGUUUCUACAAAGGCGAGGUACUACUGAGUGCAGCGGCCAUCAUGGGAGUAGAAAGGCUUUGGCUCAACAAGGCUUUGGUGACAACAGGCAGAAUCUAGGGUUCUUUUGAAGAUCCUGACCUGGAGUUACAUGCUGACUUCGGUUCUUUGCGGGAAUGGGACACGCUCUAGGGGUUUCAUGACUGGCCGUUAUUCGAUAUGCCAAGGAUGCGGCCUAGGAGAUUAGCUCACCUUCGGAGUUCCGGGAUUUUGUGGCCCAGGAGAUGGGUGGACCGAAGGAGCAAGGGAUUCGUGGGCUUUUAUUCGGCAGAAGAUGGAGAGAGAAGAUGCCCGACGGAGAGUUCGGAGACUGAAUUACGGAUUGGACUUGGAAUGGGGUCGGAAGUUGACAACGCCUGGGGGAAAUCGAUGAAGAAUGAAUGGAUGGGAAAAUUGUGAGCUCCAACGUGUGCAUUAGAUUGUUUCUUUAAAAUGGGCUCUUUUUGUUUUCUUUGUUAACCCUGUAGUCAAAUUUAGAAUU
Molecule: long non-coding RNA, 828 nt
Organism: Mobula hypostoma (lesser devil ray)
Lineage: Eukaryota; Metazoa; Chordata; Chondrichthyes; Myliobatiformes; Myliobatidae
Exons: 3
Source: RefSeq, a predicted model, not a curated record